Molecule: ribosomal RNA, 253 nt
Filed under: uncultured bacterium
Lineage: Bacteria
Description: partial 16S ribosomal RNA
Rfam family: Bacterial small subunit ribosomal RNA
Source: RNAcentral
UACGGGGGGGGCAAGCGUUGUUCGGAAUUACUGGGCGUAAAGGGCUCGUAGGCGGCCAACUAAGUCAUACGUGAAAUCCCUCGGCUUAACCGGGGAACUGCGUCCGAUACUGGAUGGCUUGAGUUUGGGAGAGGGAUGCGGAAUUCCAGGUGUAGCGGUGAAAUGCGUAGAUAUCUGGAGGAACACCGGUGGCGAAGGCGGCAUCCUGGACCAAUUCUGACGCUGAGGAGCGAAAGCCAGGGGAGCAAACGGG